GAGUGGCGAACGGGUGAGUAAUACAUCGGAACGUGCCCGAUCGUGGGGGAUAACGAAGCGAAAGCUUUGCUAAUACCGCAUACGAUCUACGGAUGAAAGCGGGGGAUCUUCGGACCUCGCGCGGACGGAGCGGCCGAUGGCAGAUUAGGUAGUUGGUGGGAUAAAAGCUUACCAAGCCGACGAUCUGUAGCUGGUCUGAGAGGAUGAUCAGCCACACUGGGACUGAGACACGGCCCAGACUCCUACGGGAGGCAGCAGUGGGGAAUUUUGGACAAUGGGCGCAAGCCUGAUCCAGCCAUGCCGCGUGCAGGAUGAAGGCCUUCGGGUUGUAAACUGCUUUUGUACGGAACGAAAAGGUGCCUUCUAAUAAAGGGCGCUCAUGACGGUACCGUAAGAAUAAGCACCGGCUAACUACGUGCCAGCAGCCGCGGUAAUACGUAGGGUGCGAGCGUUAAUCGGAAUUACUGGGCGUAAAGCGUGCGCAGGCGGUUUUGUAAGACAGAGGUGAAAUCCCCGGGCUCAACCUGGGAACUGCCUUUGUGACUGCAAGGCUGGAGUGCGGCAGAGGGGGAUGGAAUUCCGCGUGUAGCAGUGAAAUGCGUANAUAUGCGGAGGAACACCGAUGGCGAAGGCAAUCCCCUGGGCCUGCACUGACGCUCA
This 660-nucleotide ribosomal RNA is filed under the name uncultured bacterium. Its description in RNAcentral is "bacterial SSU rRNA". It matches the Rfam family "Bacterial small subunit ribosomal RNA", at positions 93 to 749 of the family's 1533-position model. The record is from RNAcentral.